UGAUAUAUAUGUGCACUCUAGGUACCUCUUGAUCUCAUUGUUUUCUAUUAGCGUUGUGGCUUGGUCAUCACCUUUCUUUAUGUAUUUAAAAAGGUAUUUUAUUGAUAGAGAUCUGUUGCACGCCUCGACAUUUAUGUGUGCUUGAUAUUUGACCAGUAUAUUUCUAUUGUAUGGGACUACGUAUCUGUUGUCCAACUUUACUUUCCCUUUCUGUAUGUAUCUUCCAUUGUCUCGUCUUCUAUAUACUGGGUAUCCAUCUUCAUCGACGGUGGUAUUGCUGUUAUAUAAUUUUGGGAACUUUCUUAUACAUCUGUUAUCGACCAUGCAUGGUGACUUUGUGUUGGCUGCAUCACAUGGCCCAUGUAUCAUGUAGUUUUCAACAGCUGCAUAUCCUUCUGGAUCAAUGUCCUUGUCUGGGAUCUCUGCACAACGUCAUGCAUGGUGACUUUUCUUUUUUGUCGAGGAAUAUGACUAUGUGGGCAUGUGGGAGGCCCCUUUUUUGGAACUCUAUUGUGUAUAUAACUACAAUUUAGAAAAUAACCAUUAGUUAUUUUGGUAUAGAAAAUUAAAUAACAGGAGUGAUCAAGUCAGUAGGGUAUAUUACUUGCAAGUGUUUUUCCAAAGUAUCCCCUUUCUCUUAUGUCUCUCAUGAACUCCUUGAGCUUUAUGUGGAACACUCGAUCAACAAUAUCAGGUCUUUCAUAUGCUGUUUGGCCUACUUCCUGUAGCAUAGCUUGAAUCUCCGGCCAAGCUGUGUUGCACGUGAAUGUCACAAAUAGGUCUGGGUAUCCAGCCCACCGACAUAUUGCCAUAGCAUCUUGGAAGUUUUGUGCUUUGUAUCUAGGGCUAUCUGUGAAGGUGGAUGGCAGUAGUAUCCUCUUUCCUACUUGGUCAGCCCUUGUAUCUCCUCUAUCUAUUGUGUCCUGCAAGCCAGCAUAUAAUUCCGUUCUUAGGUUUCCUUGAUGUGUUUUGAUCCAGUCUAGCCUAUACUGCAAAAUGCAUGCAAGGGCAUCCACAAUGAACUGCAAUGUAAGCUUUUCACACAUCAGCAAGUGCAUCGAUUGGUUAGUACGUUGUUGUAUACGAUACGCAUAGUAUUCCAGCAUUGUUACAUGCUUUCUCUUGCAUUUUGCACCUUCUUUUAAUAUGUAGGGUAUAUUUUCUCUGUACCCAUCUUCUCCAUAGGGGAACAAUAGUGGAUACUGCAUAGCCAUGAAUUUUGGAUGCUUCUGUGAUAUUCUUCUCGGCUUUGUGUCUCUGUACUGAACAAUGAUAUCCCGUCCUUUUCUAUUUUCUGCCGUAUCAUUCACAAUCAAGGCUGCAACUUCAGUUGCAGAUGGCAUGUCAUUCCGUCUUCCAUCUGUGCGUCGCUUAUUGAUUAGUUUUAAUCUCACGUUGUGAUAGUCACCUUCUUCGAAUCUGUCCCUUGCCAUUCUGAAUUUUUUUGCAAGUAUAUUAUCUCUAUCCAGCAUAUUUUUAAGGCCCUCGACGAUGUGAGGAUCUAUUGACUCCCUUUUAUCUUCUGAUGUUGACGCAUUAAUCCUGUUUUUUACCUCAUUUUCGGUGUCAUAGAUAUACAACUGUGCCCAGCGUGGUUUAUCUUCACCUUCAGGUAGUAGAUUACCUAUUCUGUGGUAGUUUUGCCCAUUCAUUCUAAAAACAUAAGGACCACCGCCAUUGUUUAUUUCUGUGUCUACCUUUCCUCCCAUUGUCGUGAAAGCGAACAUGGAGUUGUACAAUCUGAUAUUUUGCAUGUAGUUUUUUGACCUCUUUCUGUUGUCUUUCCUUAGCAAUUUCGUAAGGUAAGCCGGCGGCUCUCUGAAUGGUGGCAAAUCGACCUUGCCCUGUUGGCAACAUAGUCCGAAAGAUGGCAUCCUUCUCGCUCUACCUGAAGUUCUUUCUUCGUACCAGAAAAUUGCACCACAUCGUUCACACUUGCAGCUUGGUUCUCCGAAGUUCCAAAUUUCCAUAUCAGUCCUUUCCGAUGUCCUGUUCAAGUUUCUGAAUUUAGCAUCAAAUUUUAUAUUAGUAAUGUAUGUUCUCGUUCAUACUAAUAAAACAAACUUAAUAGAGCUUACAUAUCUGGUGUUUUUUUGUUUCUCCUUGACUUUGAUGUAGUACACCUUUUGUUACUUUUAGUCCUGUACACGUGCAUACCAGAAAUAUCAGGUUCAUGAAUGUCCAAAUUUUAGAUGUUGACUGUAUUUUCUUGUUACUUACCUUGUAGUCUUACCAGCCUCGUCGAUCAUUACUUCAUUUUCUGUCGCUGGUUCUGCAACCCUCUUGCUUUGUAUUUUUCUUUUCCUAUACAAUCUUGCCUCUUUAGCUUUGUCCCUGCAUAAACAUAAAUGCCAUUUAGUAGAAAUAAGAGAUGGAAUUUCCGGCAUAAGCAAUACACAUCUGUACAGGACAUGGUUCCUUGUGGCAAUCCAACAAUGUUUUUUUGCCACAGUUUUUGUUUAACCAUAGUCCAUGGAUAUGUGCUAUCAUGAUUCUUUUGUUUAAAAAACAUACUUCGUAGCUACAGUCAGAACCAAUUGUAACAUGUUUUUGUGAUUUAAUAGAGCAAUUUAAAUUAGCUGCACCUGAAGAUAUGGAAAUGCAUGGGCGACCGGGCAUUAUAAGCAUUUGUUUACAGUAAAAUGUUUAAGAUCAAAUUUUACUACAUCAAAUCCACCGAGUUAAUGAAGGGAUUUUUGUAAGCUUUGGAAGAUUUGAGUACAUAGAUAGCAGAACUGAUGUGCAAAGCAGAAGCAAGCUAUAUAAUGUUGUUUCCAGUAUACUGUGGUAGCAGUCGUGCAUCAUUAAUGAUAAAGUUUAGCAAUUGAAUUCAGAGAAGUAAUUAAACCAAAUUGUUGAUAAUACACAUAAGGGCAAAACUCUGAAGAUUUGCUUACUUCACAUGGAUCAGAAGUUGUUCUUCUAGUAUAGUUGCACGGCCUGGCACUUCUCCAUUUAUGAUCGAAGUCUGUCUCAUUUUCUUUGCUUGAAGUUUGAUUCUCCUUUCUAAUCUUGCCAUUUUUGUUGAUUGUCUGAAUUCACAUCAAUGAGAUAAUAAAUUAAAAUAUCAUUUUCCCUGUCCAAGCUAAAAUUAAUUAUGAACCCACAUGUGCCUAACGGGAGUUGUUGCAUUUUUAGUUGUAACAUUCUUGUGAUACCACUAAUAAAAGAUUCAUGAUUAGUAAUGGAUCACCUUGUUGGAUUGCAUAUUUGAUUGGUCUUAACCAUCUUGGCAGGUUUCUCACAUUCCUUGCUAUGUGGCCCACCUUUUCUUUUCAUUGUUUCUUCCUGCACAAUAGAGUGCAAAUAUGAUGUUAAAGGGGAUGAUAUUAUAAUAUCAUUACGGACAGUGUCCGACCCAGAAACUGUGGUUUGCUGGGGCGAUGGACGGCAAGUCGGCAACAGAGAUUGAUGUCGAUGCACCCGCUGGUCGCUGGACAGGGGAUUACCCUGCUCCGCCACUUGAGACCUCGGUCGUCCGGCCCUACUUGCCCCAAUGGUGGGUCCACCAUUGAUUACAAAGUAGUGCACAAGUUUAUGAAGAAUUAUUAUUUUUAUUGCUUUUCACUUUAUAAAUAUUCGUUUUUUGUUUUAGAAGUAAAGGAGAUCAACUUUCAAGACCAGUGAUUGUGCUGAAAGCUUUAAUUUUGAAGAGGAUGUUAAGUUCCAAUCGUCGUGUGAAGACACGAAUAUUGUGAGUAUUUUUUAAUAAAAGGCAACUGAGGCAAUCUCUACCUGAUUAAUGAGGUACUUUUUGUAGACAGAAUUACUGAGGUACUCAGGCACAAUAUUAUGUGAACCAUUAUCUGUUCUACAAAUUGCAAGUGGAUACCAUACUGCACUGCUCUUUGCUUCUGAAUAAAACAUAUUCAUUACAUUGUUGCAAUUAGACUUCAGACCUAUGGAAGCUGUUCCACAUCCCCAAAUUUAUAGUAGAGGAACACGCUAGUCAAUUAAAGAAGGUUUAGUGAGGAAUAAGAUUGUAAUUGAGGAUGGCAAGUUCAUGGGCAAUAAGGAUCGAAAAAUCACAAGGGGUAAAAUGCACACAUCACAACAUAUUUUAAGGUGCUUCCUUACUUGCGCAAAUAUGAAUGACACUAUGAACUUUGUAUCAGAUAAACAAAUUAGGUUAACCUUUUGCUAUCAUGAUGCUAUACAUUAACUUGAAAGGAUAGUAUGGUAACAGGUGCUUAAGUGGCGGAAGGAGAUGGUGCUCAUGGGCCUAUUUAAUACUGUUGUGAAUAUAAUUAAGAAGUUCAUUCUUUUAGAAUAUUAUGUGAAUUGCCAUGUAGAAAUCAAGAAACUGGACUACAGGGUAGUAUUCCUGUAUUAAUUUAACAUCAUCUCCAUUUUUAGUUCAACCCUAAAUACCAGUUUCUUGUCAAAUUUUUAGCAGUUUCCUUUCAUUUUCUGCAACGCAUUGCUCUUUGACCUCAUAAAUAUCCUCUAAUGAUUCAUUUCCUGUCACCUCUGUAGAUAUCUACAUAUUCAAAGUUUGUCCUUUGUUACUUUUUCAAAUAUCACAUGACCUGAUAAGAUACAUAUCAGAUACAAAAAUUAAGUUAAUUUUCAGCUAUCAUGAUGCCAUGCAUUAACUUGAAAGGAUACUAUUAUGAUGAAAGGUGCUUAAGUAGUGCAAGAUGAGGUGUCUAGGGGCCUAUUUAAGACCUGUGAAUAUAAUGAAGAAGUUCAUCGACACUUUUUAUAUAGUAUAUUAUGUGAACCUCCAUGUAGAAGCCAAAGAAAUGGGGAUUCAGAGUACUAUUAAUUUAUUGUUAUUGUCUCAAUUUUUAUUUCAACCAUAGAUAUCAGCCUUUACCGUCGAAACUUUAGAGAUUUUCUUUUAUUUUCUACCGCACAUGCUAUUUGACCCCAUAUAUGUAUUCUCUAAUGAUUUAUUUUUUGGCCAUCUCAAUAGGUAUAUAUUCUUGUUGGACCGGGAAUGCCAAUUCUAGGAAUUGUAACAUUUGUGAUGGGCGGCUCAUUUUUUCUCAAUAUUUUCCGGUUAUCCUCAAUAUUUUAAUAAGAUGCUAUUAAUCAUAGAAUGAUCUGAAACUUCUGAUUUUUUGUACCUUCGAUGACAUCUUUUACCUAUGCUAAUCCCAUGCAGAGUGUAGAAUCACGUUAACUACUCAUAUAUUCUCCAUUCAUGGAAUCAAUAUGUACGCAUUGUGUGAAAAAAGUAUUCAAAUCUUUUCUUUGAUGGUGUUUAAGAGUUGGGUAACCAUAUAAUAUUAAAGUGGGCAAAAGUAUUAAGU
This 5258-nucleotide long non-coding RNA is filed under the name Triticum aestivum (bread wheat). RNAcentral's name for it is "long non-coding RNA (TAES_LNC013169)". Lineage: Eukaryota; Viridiplantae; Streptophyta; Magnoliopsida; Poales; Poaceae. The record is from RNAcentral.